AUCUUGCGCAAUGGGCGAAAGCCUGACGCAGCGACGCCGCGUGGAGGACGAAGGUCUUCGGAUCGUAAACUCCUGUCAAGUGGGACGAAAUCUGCAGGGAUGAAUAAGCCCUGUGGUUGACGGUACCGCUGAAGGAAGCCCCGGAUAACUCCGUGCCAGCAGCCGCGGUAAUACGGAGGGGGCCAGCGUUGUUCGGAAUCAUUGGGCGUAAAGGGCGCGUAGGCUGCUCAGUAAGUCAGUUGUGAAAUCCCUCGGCUCAACCGAGGAACUGCGUCUGAUACUGCUGGGCUUGAGUCCCGGAGAGGGUAGCGGAAUUCCCAGUGUAGCGGUGAAAUGCGUAGAUAUUGGGAGGAACACCAGUGGCGAAGGCGGCUACCUGGACGGGUACUGACGCUGAUGCGCGAAAGCGUGGGGAGCAAAC
This 421-nucleotide ribosomal RNA is filed under the name uncultured bacterium. RNAcentral describes it as "bacterial SSU rRNA". It matches the Rfam family "Bacterial small subunit ribosomal RNA", at positions 361 to 773 of the family's 1533-position model. The record is from RNAcentral.